Molecule: ribosomal RNA, 467 nt
Filed under: uncultured bacterium
Lineage: Bacteria
Description: partial 16S ribosomal RNA
Rfam family: Bacterial small subunit ribosomal RNA
Source: RNAcentral
GACGAACGCUGGCGGCGUGCUUAACACAUGCAAGUCGAACGGAAAGGCCCUGCUUUUGUGGGGUGCUCGAGUGGCGAACGGGUGAGUAACACGUGAGUAACCUGCCCUUGACUUUGGGAUAACUUCAGGAAACUGGGGCUAAUACCGGAUAGGAGCGCCUGCUGCAUGGUGGGGGUUGGAAAGUUUCGGCGGUUGGGGAUGGACUCGCGGCUUAUCAGCUUGUGGGUGGGGUAGUGGCUUACAAAGGCUUUGGCGGGUAGCGGGCCUGAGGGGGGGCCCGGCCACAUGGGGGGUGAGACACGCCCCACACCCGCCCGGGGGGGAGAGGGGGGGAAUUUUGCACAAGGGGCGAGAGCGUCUGACGGAACCCCGGCGCGGGGGGGGAGGGCCUUUGGGUGGAACCCCGUUUUGGCCUGUGAGAAGGCGUAAUGGCCGGAACUGGGGAAGAAGGCACGGCCAACUUCGUU